CCUACGGGUGACAGCAGUGAGGAAUAUUGGUCAAUGGACGAGAGUCUGAACCAGCCAAGUAGCGUGAAGGAUGACUGCCCUAUGGGUUGUAAACUUCUUUUAUAUGGGAAUAAAAUGUUCCACGUGUGGGAUUUUGUAUGUACCAUAUGAAUAAGGAUCGGCUAACUCCGUGCCAGCAGCCGCGGUAAUACGGAGGAUCCGAGCGUUAUCCGGAUUUAUUGGGUUUAAAGGGAGCGUAGGUGGAUUGUUAAGUCAGCUGUGAAAGUCCGCGGCUCAACCGUGAGAUUGCAGUUGAAACUGGCAGUCUUGAGUACAGUAGAGGUGGGAGGAAUGCGUGGUGUAGCGGUGAAAUGCUUAGAUAUCACGAAGAACUCCGAUUGCGAAGGCAGCUCACGGAACUGCGACUGACGCUGAGGCUCGAAAGUGUGGGUAUCGAACAGGAUUAGAUACCCCUGUAGUC
RNAcentral lists this ribosomal RNA (460 nucleotides) under uncultured bacterium. RNAcentral describes it as "partial 16S ribosomal RNA". It matches the Rfam family "Bacterial small subunit ribosomal RNA", at positions 338 to 795 of the family's 1533-position model. The record is from RNAcentral.